UGUCAGCGGUCUUUCUGAAGGACAAUAAC
RNAcentral lists this non-coding RNA (29 nucleotides) under Rattus norvegicus (Norway rat). The record is from RNAcentral. Lineage: Eukaryota; Metazoa; Chordata; Mammalia; Rodentia; Muridae.